AGAAUCAACGCUGGCGGCGUGCCUAACACAUGCAAGUCGAUCGAGAAAGUGGAGCAAUCCAUGAGUAAAGAGGCGCACGGGUGAGUAACACGUGACUAACCUACCUUCGAGUGGGGAAUAAACCUGGGGAAACCCGGGCUAAUACCGCAUAAUACCUACGGGUCAAAGGAGCAAAUUCGCUUGAAGAGGGGGUCGCGGCAGAUUAGUUAGUUGGCGGGGUAAUGGCCCACCAAGACGAUGAUCUGUA
RNAcentral lists this ribosomal RNA (247 nucleotides) under uncultured bacterium. RNAcentral's name for it is "partial small subunit ribosomal RNA". It matches the Rfam family "Bacterial small subunit ribosomal RNA", at positions 26 to 285 of the family's 1533-position model. The record is from RNAcentral.